UUCGCAAUGCCCGAAAGGGUGACGAAGCGACGCCGCGUGUGGGAAGAAGGCCUUCGGGUUGUAAACCACUGUCGGGAGUUAAGAAAUGCAAGAAUGUUAAUAGCGUUUUUGCUUGACUAAGGCUCCGGAGGAAGCCACGGCUAACUCUGUGCCAGCAGCCGCGGUAAUACAGAGGCGGCAAGCGUUGUUCGGAAUUAUUGGGCGUAAAGAGCACGUAGGCGGCUAUAUAAGUCGGUUGUGAAAGCCUUCCGCUCAACGGGAGAACAGCAUCCGAUACUGUAUGGCUUGAGUGUGGGAGGGGAGAGCGGAACUUCUGGUGGAGCGGUGAAAUGCGUAGAUAUCAGAAGGAACGCCGGCGGCGAAAGCGUCUCUCUGACCCAUAACUGACGCUGAGUGUGCGAAAGCUAGGGGAGCGAACGGGAUUAGAUACCCCGGUAGUCCUAGCCGUAAACGAUGGGCACUAAGUAGAGGGGUUUU
Molecule: ribosomal RNA, 477 nt
Filed under: uncultured bacterium
Lineage: Bacteria
Description: bacterial SSU rRNA
Rfam family: Bacterial small subunit ribosomal RNA
Source: RNAcentral